GACCUCGUAGCUCAAUUGGAUAGAGCGUCGGCCUCCGGAGCCGAAGGUUGCUGGUUCGAUCCCAGUCGAGGUCGCCA
Molecule: transfer RNA, 77 nt
Filed under: Chloroflexaceae bacterium
Lineage: Bacteria; Bacillati; Chloroflexota; Chloroflexia; Chloroflexales; Chloroflexaceae
Description: tRNA-Arg
Rfam family: tRNA
About the family: Transfer RNA (tRNA) molecules are approximately 80 nucleotides in length. Their secondary structure includes four short double-helical elements and three loops (D, anti-codon, and T loops). Further hydrogen bonds mediate the characteristic L-shaped molecular structure. tRNAs have two regions of fundamental functional importance: the anti-codon, which is responsible for specific mRNA codon recognition, and the 3' end, to which the tRNAs corresponding amino acid is attached (by aminoacyl-tRNA synthetases). tRNAs cope with the degeneracy of the genetic code in two manners: having more than one tRNA (with a specific anti-codon) for a particular amino acid; and 'wobble' base-pairing, i.e. permitting non-standard base-pairing at the 3rd anti-codon position.
Source: RNAcentral